GAUGAACGCUGGCGGCGUGCCUAAUACAUGCAAGUCGAGCGAACAGACGAGGAGCUUGCUCCUCUGACGUUAGCGGCGGACGGGUGAGUAACACGUGUAUACCCUACCUAUAAGACUGGGAUAACUUCGGGAAACCGGAGCUAAUACCGUAUAAUAUCUUGAACCGCAUGGUUCAAUAGUGAAAGACGGUUUUGCUGUCACUUAUAGAUGGAUCCGCGCCGCAUUAGAUAGUUGGUACGGUCACGGCUUACCACGGCAACGAUGCGUAGCCGACCUGAGAGAGGGGUCGGCCACACGAGAGCUGAGACGGGGACCAGGGGACUACGGGAGGCAGCAGAAGGGAAUCUGACGCAAUGGGGGAGAGUCUGACAGAGCAAGGCCGCGUGAGAGAUGAAGGUCCUGGGUUCGGAAAACCGUGUUAUUAGUGAAGAACAAAUGUGUAAGUAAACAUGGCGGGCUUGACGGUACUGAAUCAGAAAGCCCCGGCUAACUACGUG
RNAcentral lists this ribosomal RNA (497 nucleotides) under uncultured bacterium. RNAcentral's name for it is "partial 16S ribosomal RNA". It matches the Rfam family "Bacterial small subunit ribosomal RNA", at positions 28 to 507 of the family's 1533-position model. The record is from RNAcentral.